This 71-nucleotide signal recognition particle RNA is filed under the name Limnobacter sp. RNAcentral describes it as "partial signal recognition particle sRNA small type". It matches the Rfam family "Bacterial small signal recognition particle RNA", at positions 1 to 71 of the family's 97-position model. Rfam says of the family: The signal recognition particle (SRP) is a universally conserved ribonucleoprotein involved in the co-translational targeting of proteins to membranes. Archaeal SRP consists of a 7S RNA and homologues of the eukaryotic SRP19 and SRP54 proteins. In most bacteria, the SRP consists of a 4.5S RNA and the Ffh protein (a homologue of the eukaryotic SRP54 protein). The record is from RNAcentral. Lineage: Bacteria; Pseudomonadati; Pseudomonadota; Betaproteobacteria; Burkholderiales; Burkholderiaceae.
GGCGGGCCUCCCCGCAUGGCGUAGCGGCCAACCUGGUCAGGUCCGGAAGGAAGCAGCCACAACCGUGAAGU